UCACCCAGGCUGGAGUGCAGUGGCAGUCACAGCCCACUGCAGCCUCAACCUCCUGGGACUCAAAGGAUCAUCCCACCUCAGCCUGUUGAGUAGCUAGGACUACAGGUGUGAGCCACCAUGCCUAGUCAAUUACAGUUUUUUUUUUUUUUUUUGUAGAUUUGGGGUCUUGGUAUAUUUCCCAGGCUGGUCUCGAACUCCUGGCCUCAGGUGAUCCACUCGCCUCAGCCUUCCAAAGUGCUGGGAUUACACAGGUGAGCCGCCGCUCCCGGCCCAAAUCAGUUGAUUUCUAUGUUGCAUUUCACUCUCUUAAGUUUUUAGGUCAUGGAAAUGUCUGUGUAUUACUCUUAGGCUACUGACAAUUGUGUAGCAAGACACACCAGCAUCUGCUUUGCAAGUGUGUUCCUCGAACACCGUCUCCUCCCGGCCUCUGCUUCUUUGCUCCUGGGUAUUAUUACUUUGACCCCUUCGUUGCACCCUUUUCCCAUGUUUCUGGAGCCAAGAGCAUAUUUACUCUAAUAAUAUGGCAAAAGGCAGCUGUUGGGAGGAGGCUGCGCUGGCUCUAUUUAAACAGUGCAGCUACUUCCCUCUCUGAGGUUCUCAGCCAGCCUCCCUUCAGAGCGGACGUCUCAGGGCUGUGUGUUAUCUCACACUGUUUAUGCGUCUGUGGGUUUUUGAAGGUCGAAUGUAGGUUAACUUUCACGUGGGAUGGGAGAGAUGGAUGGGCGGCUGGAGCUCUGGGUUGUAUAGCGAGCGUGUGUCUAGCUACAGACGUUGUCUGACAGGUUUAACAUUUGCCGUUUGCUGUGGCUUUUUAAAAGUUCUCACUUUUAAAUUUUGGAGUGCUGACAGAGGAUUUGGGGGGUGGAGGAGGGCUCAUUUCAUUGAAACACAUUUGCCUUUAAAAUAAAUCUGGCAUUGCCUUCGGUACUUGCAGUUGGUCAAGAAAGGCCCACGGUGCGUGGCUGAGAGCAGCCGAAUGGAGGGAGCAGACGCUUGCUGGAUGGAGACGCCGCCGCUCGCUGCAUUGCUGAUGUGUGAGGACGCGUGGAUUUCCUUUCCUUGCUUUGCCUGGCGAGGCUGCCCUCGCAUCCCGACGUGUUUAACACAGGACACCAGCUUCUCCACCGGGAGGAAGCCUUGCGUUCUGAGCUCAGCGACGCUGAACUUGUUCCUGUGUAGCAGCUGGAACAAGAACGGGCGGAGCAGCUUCGUUCAAGAUCAGAGACCGGCCAGGUGCCCACCGACGGGAGAAUGGAUGAACACGCCGUGGCGUUUUGUGCAGUGGAAUGUCACUCUGUAGCAGAAAGGGACAAAUGACAGCGUGGGUGAGGCUCAGCAAGGCUGUGCUGAGUGGAAGAAGCCCUGCCCAGACGGGCACCCCCGGUGCAAUUCCGUGUCUGUCACGUCCCAGCACCGGCAGAUCCACCCAGUGGUGGCAAGAGCCCAGACGAACGGUGGUCGCUGUUGUGCAUGGGCAGGACUGAGCAGGAAAUGGCAGGAAGCAGGAAGGGCUUCGGGGAUGUGGUAACAUGUACUUUGAUACGGGUUUGGGUUACACAGGUCUAUGCGUUUGCCCAAACUCAGCAAAUAUUUAAGCAACUGUAAACAAAUGUUGGCCAUGAGCUAGCAAUAUGCACACUAAGAUAUUAAAUAGAGGACGGUGCUGGAGUCUGCAGUCUGCUCUGUCGUUUGUCCAAAAGCCAAGGUGGAUGGAUGGUUGGGUGAGGGAGGAUUGACGGGCGGCUGCCUGACCAGGCAGGGAGAGCCAGUGUCCAUGCGGCCUCCGGGUAGUGAGGACGCGAGCUGCACUGUGAGAUCCUCUCUGCCUUGUUGUGUGUUUGAAA
This 1844-nucleotide long non-coding RNA is filed under the name Homo sapiens (human). RNAcentral's name for it is "HSALNT0234687". Lineage: Eukaryota; Metazoa; Chordata; Mammalia; Primates; Hominidae. The record is from RNAcentral.